This 305-nucleotide ribosomal RNA is filed under the name uncultured bacterium. RNAcentral's name for it is "bacterial SSU rRNA". It matches the Rfam family "Bacterial small subunit ribosomal RNA", at positions 335 to 638 of the family's 1533-position model. The record is from RNAcentral.
CGUCCUACGGGGCGCAGCAGUGGGGAAUAUUGCGCAAUGGGGGAAACCCUGACGCAGCAACGCCGCGUGAAGGAAUAAGGCCCUACGGGUCGUAAACUUCUUUAGUCAGGGAACAAAGGGUGCCACGCGUGGCGCUGUGAGUGUACCUGAAGAAUAAGCAUCGGCUAACUCCGUGCCAGCAGCCGCGGUAAUACGGAGGAUGCGAGCGUUAUCCGGAUUUAUUGGGUUUAAAGGGUGCGUAGGCGGUUUGUCAAGUCAGCGGUAAAAAUUCCGGGCUCAACCCGGUCCCGCCGUUGACACUGGCG